UCUUUCACCCAUUUCCAUUUUCUGUUGCUUUUUACAAAUGUUCUUCGCUUCUUUCAUAUAGAGUCAAGAGCUUUCCCUAACAUUUCAAGCUUUUUAUUUUUGAAGCAAAGAUGGCUGAAGCUUUCGUUAGUGCUGUUGUGGGAGAAGCGGUGUCAAAAGCGGCGUCAGUUGCGGUUGAGAUGAUAAGCCUUGGAUGGGGCUUCAAGGAUGAGAUUCAGAGGCUUGAAAACUCACUAGAAAUGGUAGGAGCUUUCUUGCAAGAUGCAGAGGGAAAGCAAAAGCAAAUGAAUUCAGUGAAGCUUUGGUUGGAGGGGCUCAGAGAUGUUGCUUAUGAGGCUGGUGAGGUCCUGGAUGAGAUUACUUAUGAGUUUCUCAGAAGGAAAGUGGAGGUUGGGGUUCAGAUGUGGAGAAAGCUACGAGACCUUCCAUCUACUGUCAUAUUUCGGCACAACAUGGCUAAUAGAGUUAAGGACAUCCUUAAUUCCUUGGACCACCUUAACAAAAAAGCCAAAGACUACGGUCUCCAACAAUUAGCCAUAGAUCAAAGAAUUUUUAUUCCAUCAAAUGUGGAGACAGUCUCCUUCCUGGAUGACUCAAACAUUGUUGGAAGGAAAAAUGAUGUCUCAAAAGUUGUUGACAUGUUAGUCAGUCCCCAAGAUGAUCGAACUGUCUCUGUUGUGCCUAUAGUUGGAAUGGCGGGUAUCGGGAAAACUACUUUAGCAAGGCUAGUCUACAAUGAUGUGGAUGUGGAAAGGCGUUUUGAUGUAAGAUUUUGGGUGUGUGUUUCGGCUGACUUCAAUGUCAAAAGAAUUUUAAGAGAAAUGCUGGAGCAUUUUAAGGGGACUUCGAUACCUCAAAACUUAAAUGCUUUAACGGCGAAACUGAAGGGGAAGAUUGAGCAGGCCAAAAGGGGAAAUGAACAGAUCAAAUAUCUUCUUGUACUUGAUGAUGUGUGGAAUGUUGAACAAUGGGAUGAACUAAUGUGGUGUUUGGAAGGGGUUAAUAAGAAUCGGGGGAAUAAAGUUAUUGUAACAACCCGCAUUGAAGAUGUGGCAUUAAAAGUGGAAACACUUCCUAAUCAAAGGCAUCAGCCUGGAAAAUUAAAAGAUGAGGAGUGCUGGUCCAUAAUUCAAGAAAAAGCACGUGGAGACUCCCCAAUAUCUCCCAGCUUAGUGUUAAUUGGCGAGGACAUUGCUAAACAAUGUCACGGUGUGCCUUUAGCAGCAAAAGUUAUUGGAGGUACAAUGCGCAAAAUUGAAAAGAGUCGGGGUGCAUGGUUGAAAAUUCAAAAAAGUGAUGUAUGGGAUUCGGUUAAUAGUGUGCUAAGGUUAAGUUUCGAUCACUUGUCUUCUCCAUGUUUAAAGAAGUGUUUUGCAUACUGCGCCAUGUUUCCUAAAGAUUUUUGCUUUAGAAAGGAGCAAUUAAUCCAACUCUGGAUGGCUGAAGGAUUUCUUGGCGCUUCUAAAGAAAUGAUGGAUACUGGUAACAGAUAUUUCCAUGAAUUGUUAUCAAAUUCCUUAUUCCAAGAUGUGGGGAAGGACAGGUGCGGAAAUAUUUUGACUUGCAAGAUGCAUGACAUGGUGCAUGAUCUGGCUUUGUCUGUCUCAAAGUUUGAGACUUUGAUUUUCCAAGAAAAUUCCAGUUCCAGCACAGAUGAAGUUUCUCAUAUUCAGCAUCUCAGUAUUGGUUAUGAUGGGGAAUCCUUACCAAUAAUUUUAACAGCUGUUGCUCCAAAAUUGCACUCUUUGUUCUCAGAGAUUGAUGUGUUCAAGAAAUUGUCAAGAACCUUCACAAGCUUACGAGUCCUAAAAUUUUCCGGUGCUGAUUAUAUUCUUGAGUUGCCUGCUUCCCUCGGCGACUUGAAGCACUUGAGGUAUAUGGACAUCUCGAAGACUUCUAUCAAAGUGCUGCCUCGAUCCAUAACCAAACUUUACAUGUUACAAACAUUAAGGUUCAUGGGUUGUAGGGAAAUCGCAUUUCCAGAUGGAUUGAGAAAUUUGAUAAGCUUGAAGCACAUCCAUUAUGACCAGCAAAGGUCUCAACCAAUUGAGCUUCGACACCUAAUUUCUCUCCAAACAUUGCCAAUGUUUUUUGUUAGGGAUAUCGAAUUCCAUCUUGAUGCUCUAGAAUGCCUCAACGAACUUGGUGGAGAAUUGAGGAUAUGCAAUCUGCAGAGUGUUAGGGACAAGGAAGAGGCUCGCAAAGCAAAUCUACGGCUUAAAACAAAAUUGUGCAAGGUAAUAUUCGAAUGGUCAGAAUUUAGCAAUGACACCUGUGAGGAAGUGCUGGAAGGUCUCCAACCCCACUCAGGUUUGCAAAGCUUAAUUGUUUGGAAUUAUGGAGGGGAAAAGCUCCCAUCUUGGAUGUCAAGACCUGUUCAUGGUUCUAAUAUUGGUUCACUGCUUCUUGACAAUUUGAUGGAGUUGGAAUUAAACAGUUGCAUCAAUUGUAAAAGUCUUCCACCAUUGGGCCAACUGCAGAGUCUCAAGUUUCUUGCACUGAGGAAUAUGGGGAAGGUGAAACGCAUCGGUAAUGAGUUUUAUUGCGAUGGAAGUAGUCAAUGUGAGAUUGAGGUGUUUCCUGCAUUAAAAACAUUCAUCCUACGGCAAAUGAAAAAUUUGGAAGAAUGGACAGCAACGACAGCAGCAACCAUGUUCCCUUGCUUAGAAGAGUUGCUUGUUUCUGAUUGCCCCUUAUUAGAAAGUGUUCCCCUGACGGGAGGAUGUUUAUCUCUUAAAAAGCUCUGGGUUGAGGAUUGUUCAAAAUUAAGCCGUAUAGGGGAUGGACUAGCUACUUCCACGGUACUUGAGGAGCUAACUAUAGUAAAGUGUGGAGAUUUGUUCUCAAUUCCAAAUUUGAAUGGGUUUUCCGCUCUUCGAAGUGUCUAUGUUUCCGAUUGCGGACGCUUGGGAAGUGUUCCAAUAGCAGGAAUAUGUUCAUCUCUUGAAGAAUUUUGCAUUUCAGAGUGUAAGGAAUUAAGCGAGAUAGGAGGCGGGUUGUCUACCUCCACUUGUCUUAAAGAAUUAAAGCUAAGUGGCUGUGCUAAUUUAAGCUCCAUUCCAGAUUUGGAAGGAUUUUCCUUUCUUCGAAAUCUAGAUAUAUCAGAGUGCAGCAAACUGGAAAUUGUUCCAAUAAGAGGAAGAUGUUCAUCUCUUCAAAAGCUUCACAUUUCCUCGUGUCGAAAACUAAGCAAGAUUGGAGAUGGGUUGUCGACCUCCACUAAUCUUGAAGAAUUGAAGUUAAGUGAUUGUCCUAAUUUAAGUUCUAUUCCAGAUUUGGAAGGAUUUUCCUUUCUUCGAAAUCUAGAUAUAUCAGAGUGCAGCAAACUGGAAAUUGUUCCAAUAAGAGGAAGAUGUUCAUCUCUUGAAAAGCUUCACAUUUCCUCGUGUCAAAACUUAAGCAAGAUAGGAGACGGGUUGUCGACCUCCAGUUGUCUUAAAGAAUUAAAGCUAAGUGGCUGUGCUAAUUUAAGUUCCAUUCCAGAUUUGGAAGGAUUUUCCUUUCUUCGAAAUCUAGAUAUAUCAAAGUGCAGCAAACUGGAAAUUGUUCCAAUAAGGGGAAGAUGUUCAUCUCUUGAAAAGCUUCACAUUUCCUCGUGUCAAAACUUAAGCAAGAUAGGAGACGGGUUGUCGACCUCCACUUAUCUUAUAGAAUUAAAGCUAUGUGGCUGUGCUAAUUUAAGCUCCAUUCCAGAUUUGGAAGGAUUUUCCUUUCUUCGAAAUCUAGUUAUAUCAGGGUGCAGCAAACUGGAAAUUGUUCCAAUAAGAGGAAGAUGUUCAUCUCUUCAAAAGCUUCACAUUUCCUCGUGUCGAAAACUAAGCAAGAUUGGAGAUGGGUUGUCGACCUCCACUAAUCUUGAAGAAUUGAAGUUAAGUGAUUGUCCUAAUUUAAGUUCUAUUCCAGAUUUGGAAGGAUUUUCCUUUCUUCGAAAUCUAGAUAUAUCAGAGUGCAGCAAACUGGAAAUUGUUCCAAUAAGAGGAAGUUGUUCAUCUCUUGAAAAGCUUCACAUUUCCUCGUGUCAAAACUUAAGCAAGAUAGGAGACGGGUUGUCGACCUCCAGUUGUCUUAAAGAAUUAAAGCUAAGUGGCUGUGCUAAUUUAAGUUCCAUUCCAGAUUUGGAAGGAUUUUCCUUUCUUCGAAAUCUAGAUAUAUCAGAGUGCAGCAAACUGGAAAUUGUUCCGAGAGUAGGGCAGUGCUCGUCUCCUAAACUGUGUCACGUUCUUACACGUGGAAUAAUGACACCGUGUCUCGUCCCUAUGCCCAGGAAAUUGAGGAUAGUGAACUGCCCGAAUUUGAGGUCCAUUCCAAGUCUAUGUCACUAUUGUCUCACUGAAUUAGACUUCACUGGUUUAGGCAAAAGCUUAACUUGUCUGUUAGAUUUGCUGCAAUCCUACACUCUCGUUCACAAUCUGACACUAUCUGAUUUGCCUGAUCUAAGAUCGAUUCCAGAAAGUUUGGGGAAAUUGCGUUUUCUCCGUCAUUUAACAAUCAAACAGUGCCCAACAUUGAGGAGCAUUCCAAAUGACUGCCUUGGCAGCCUUACUUGCUUGAGAAGUUUAGAUAUUGGUGGUUUCUCAGAAGAGCUAGAAGAAUUCCCAGGUUUUGAUUCCAUCCGACGCCUCAGUGCCUCCCUUACAGAGUUGCGAUUGCGUGGAUGGGCAAAGCUAAGUUCUCUUCCUUACCAACUCCAACACCUCACUGCCCUUGAACAGCUGGAAAUACUGACAUUUCACGGCAUAGAAGCCUUGCCUGAUUGGUUGGAAAACCUGUCCUCUAUAAAGCGGCUGGGAAUCGAUUCAUGUGAUAAGCUCGUGUAUCUGCCUUCUGAACUUGUUAGGCGAGGCCUCUCCAAAGUUAUAGCAUUUCAAAUUUCAGCGUGUCCUCUAUUAGACAGAAGAAGGUCCAAGGAAUGCAGCUCCGAGUAGUUCAAUAUUUCCGUCAUUCGUAGAACCCCAAUUAAGAGAAAGCGAACUUUACAGGAUUUGGAUGGAUAUGAAUGAUUCAUUGACUUAUCGUCUCAGAAGUAAAUAUAUAGAUAGAAAAGAUUCACUAAUUAGCUUGUACAGCUCAAAGACUCAUCAGUCAUAAAGAGAACGUAGAAACUAAAUUUAUCCAUCGAAAACCCAUUCUUAGUUUGCUUCCAAUGGAAGUGAUGGUACUACCAUCCUUGUUUCAUUUUUACCCAAAUCAGCAGUUCUUGACAACAUAUCACGUACUUGUUCAUUGCAACCAGCCUAUCUUGCCGCUUUACCUCCGUUCUCUCUGUUUUCUAGAAGGCAUGAACUAUUAUAGUAGGUCAACUAAACAAAGAAUACUGCUUAUGAAAUUUUUUCAAAACUCAACUCACUAGCAUCAAGGAUUAUGAAUAAGGGUUCUCAUGAGAUCCAACUGGAAUUUAGCCUUGUUCCUGAUGGAAGCACUUAGGAUAGCCACCCGUUAUGGCAAAGUGUCUCCCUGCAGAGAAGUGGUGUUACUUAAGAUCAUAGAGGAAGUCUCUUGCAAGAAUCUUCAAUAUGAGAGAUCCAGGCAUGCUUCAGAUAGAUGAGCUAGUGAGCUAAAUGGCCUCAGCCAAGACCAGAGUGGCCCAGCACCGUACAUGGGGUAUUGGAAAAGGUCAUAUGGUAAUGGUGUGACUACUUGAUGCUAUUGAGCUGUGUUUGAUUGCAGUCACAGAAAAGGUCCAAGUCAGCUGUGACUACUUGUACAGAUUUAGUUUUGUUGUACAUAAAAUGUUUCUGACAGAUUAGCCGGGAAAAAGCUGCAUUUUUCCAAAAGGCAUAGACUAUUAUAUCAUGCAAGUCACCUAAGUAUUUCUCCUACUUGUCAGAAGCCUCAAGGAUUGUGAAUAAGGUUUCUCGUGAUAUCCGACCGGAAUUUAGUUCUGUUCCCGAAAGCCAUUCUGGUUCUGCUCCUGAAGGAAGCACUUGCGAUUGCCACCCCGUUAUGGAACUAACCUUGGCUACCCAAAUCAGCUGUCCUUGACAACAUAUUGCGAAGUGUCUCCCUGUAGAGAAGUGGUGUUACUUAAGGCAAAUAGAGGAAGUCUCCUGCAAGACUCUUUGAUAUGAGAGAUCCGGACAUGCUUCACAUAGUAAGCUAGAAGGCCUUAGCCAUGACCGGAGAGGACCAGCACCAAAUAUGAAUGGAAAAGCUAUUCACAAAGGAAAAGGAGCUAGCAUCUGUGUAUCGAGCUAAGUUGAAGAUUUAAGCUUUCAGGUCAUAAUCCAAAAUCAUCAGAAAAAAAAGUUGGCUACCCUGUAUUUAUAUCAAGCAAAGAGAGCUUGUUAGUGCCGAUUAUAAUUGUCAGCUUCAAUGGUGGUACAUCAGUGCAGACUUUACAUGCGAGAAUCAAGCCAAGUAAAGAUUGUUUCAAUACAAUCAAAGUUCUCUUAAAUAGAAGAUUUGAUCUUCAAGGAAUUUGAUACAGUAAGAUGUUUUUAGUGAGAUUAGCGAAUGUCAUUGAUUGUACUUGAACGCCCCUUUUAUGUAUAUAUAGUGAACGACUAGUGUAGGUUAAUUGUAGAAAUUGGAGAGCAUUUUAUUUGUUAAAUCAGGAACUACUUUUUUUAGUGCAAAAUUGUGAGUAAACUGAAUAUUGUUCAUCAGCUUGGAUCUAAGCUUGCAAGGGGAAAAGAUUUAGAGGGAGAGUUAUUUAGUUAGAAGUAUAGGACUGAAGCUAUAACUUGCUGAGUGAGUUGAGUUAAAUCAUAACUUGUAACUGUUGUUAUAGUGGAUUAACCUCUGAGCAAGGCUCCUCAGACGUAGGAAAUUUCCAAACUGCGUAAACAAUUCUCAUAUCCAUCUCUAUUGUUCUUCUAGUA
This is an RNA transcript of Gossypium raimondii (Peruvian cotton), 6821 nucleotides long. It is a transcript of the gene named pentatricopeptide repeat-containing protein At5g04780, mitochondrial, with no coding region annotated. The record is from RefSeq and is a predicted model, not a curated record. NCBI's taxonomy places the organism in Eukaryota, Viridiplantae, Streptophyta, Magnoliopsida, Malvales, Malvaceae. The transcript is spliced from 11 exons.